CACAAGUAAAUCACAUUUUUAUGUUGCAAUUAUAUGAAAUAACUUUUCCGUUCACAUUUUAUAAAUUAAGAAAGUGAGACAUUGAGCUGGGAGAACAGACCUAUAAUCCUAGCAAUUUAGGAGUCUGAGGCAGGACAAUCACAAACCCUCUGUCAAAAUUAAAAAAAAAAUAAAAUAAAGCUCAAUGGUAGAACACCACUGGGUUCAAUCCCCAGUACUAAAGAGAAAAAAACUAAACACAAGAAUUUGUGCUUUUAUCACAAAUUAUUUUACCUCCCAAAAUAAUCUGAACUAUCUGUCCACUUCAGAUAUCCGGAAUGCUAGAAUAAUUUACAUCUAAAGUCAAAUUCAUAAAUUCAUUAGAUCAUUUUCCAUUGGAAAACAUAUCUCAGAAUAAAUAAGUACAUCUUAGCUAUCUGUACUAAAAGCUUAUAGGCAAAAGAGUAAUCCUUCUGUAAGUUAAAUAAUUUGUUUUGUUUUUUUCUUCUUGUCAUCUCUGUUACUCAUUAUAGAUGUUUUUCAGUUUAUUAUGGGGUUAUAUCCCAAAAAUCCAUCAGAAUUACAAAUAUCAUUAAUUCAGAAAUAUAUUUCAUAUAUCUAAUCUAUCAGACAUCAUUGUUUAGUUUAGCCUAUCUAAAUGCGUUCAGAAUAUUGGCAUUAGCUUACAAUUGAGCAAAAUUUAAAAUGAAUCCUAUUUAAAAUUAAAGUAUUGAAUAUCUCCUGUAAUUUAUUUCAUACCAUGCUGAAUGUGAAAAAAAAUGGUUGCACAAGUAUAUUUUUAUACAACAGUAAUCUAAAAAUUGUUAAGUUGAGCCAUUGUAAAUCAAGUAUUGUCUAUUAAUAAGAAAUAUCUUCUUCACAGACACUUUUCAAAAUGUCAAAGGCAAUAAAAUAGAAUAAAUUGCAUUAUUCUCUUGUUAGCACCAUUAACAUAGAAAUAGUAAAUAUUAUGCAAUUCUUUAUUGGUUUUGUUUCAUGACCAAAUGCAAAUAAAUCUUUUUCAACAUUUAAUAAUAUGCAUUCAAUCUCAUAUCCAUGUUCUAUAAAUUGGCAUGUUUUGAAUUUCAUUCUAAUUUCAAAAAACCUUUUUGAUUGCAAGGUAUAAUUUUAAUAAUCGAAAUUGCUUUCCUGUAAGUAAAUUAUUUUCAGAGUACAGACUAGAUACCAGGAAAACGCAAUGAUCUAUUGUCUUUUAUGUCUACAAUUUGUUGAACAAGAAACUCUAAAUUAAGAGCUUAGAAAACAUCUUUGCUGGUAUUUGAAAUAAUUAGUUGUGAAAGUCACGGUCCAAGACCCUUUUAAGAUUUAGAUUUUAAGUGAUUUUUCUUCUACUUGUCAUGUCUUGACAUUUUAUCAUUUGGAAUUUAAGGAAGUAGAGAUUAUUGCCCUCCUUGGAACCCUGUAGACAAAUUGUAUUUAUGCUAGAGAGCCAAUAAUAUUAAAAAUAACCUGAUUUUUAUAGUCAAUCUAGUAGCUCUUCUGCCUGAAAAAAGGUUUGCCCACCUGCAUAAGAAUUUGCUCUGUGUUUAAGUAAAAUACUUUGUGUAAGUACUUUUUCAGAAUGCUAUUUUCAAGUGAGAAAUUAUCAUUGCUCAUUUGACCAGUAAAACCAAUGAUCUAUUAGGCACUUUUUAUUCAAGGUCUUAAGCACCUUCAAUUUAUUGUGCCUUCAAUUUAAUAAAUCUGUGCUUCCUCUGACCCCUUCACAACAUUUGAACAUGGUAUGGAAGAAUUAACUGAAGAUAUUAUUGUACAGUUUACUUCGUUUUUUUUUCUUUUUAAUAUCAAACUUCUAGAAUGUAAGUUCCUCAAGGGCAUGAAUCGUUUUCUGCUUUAGCCAUCAGUAAAUUCCUAGUAUCCAGAAAAUGCUAGGCUCAUAGUAGGUGCUUAAUUAAUACUGGAUGAAUGAAUAAGCAUCACCUUCCACUAGUAGGCCACAUCCCCGAGGGCUACAAUUUUGUGUGAGUCCCAAUUAUAUCUCUAGUGCUAGAGCAGGCAUGUUAACUGACAAGCCAAAUGGUGGCCUGAAUAAAAUGACACCUAUUUAAGUUAUUUUGUCACUAUAUUUAUAAAAGAGCCUGGGUGACAUACACAUUGAAGAAAGAAUCAGCCUUCUCUUUUGGUUUGUGACUACCCCCCUUUCUCAUGACAAAGGAUCAUUGCUUUCUCUCUCUAACCCUCAUUUCAUCUUUCUGUGUGUGUGUUUCCCUUUGAUAUGGCACAGUGAGCUCAGGUUCAUAAGAAAAUAGAAUCACAGUUUAAGAUCAUAUUGAUUCUGGAGAACAACUGAGGAUCCUGUUUUUUUCCUUGAAGAGUUGAUAGGGUGGAAUUCUAGAACCACCGUACGAUGUGCUUCUGAAGAAAAUUCAGGGGGUCAUGAAACUCUGGCUUAAUACCCCCAGAAAACCGCAAGUGUGUGGAUGCACCAGGAAGAGGGGGACAGGUGAUUCCUGCAGGAAUCACAAAGGGAAUACUCUGAAAUGGGCCAAAGUCUCAGAAAAGCUGUCAUAUUCGCAAGACACCGACCUCCUCAAUAUUUUUUUCAAGCUACCUGCCGAACAGAGAUGCAUCUUUAGAAAUUCUUCUAAAGCAUCCCAAGAAAUCAUAAAAUGAGGGUUAUCUGACAUUUGUCUAUAUACAAAUGAAAUGUUUAAUCUUUCACUAACAUUGGAAGGAAAAUCUUAUUUAAAAAGAUCUCUGGCAAGAGAUGUCAGAACUUCCAAAUUGUGUCUUCCUUGUAUGACCUGAAUAUGAUCUUUUAAAAUAAAAUGUUGGUAUUCUUAAAACAA
Molecule: long non-coding RNA, 2789 nt
Organism: Ictidomys tridecemlineatus (thirteen-lined ground squirrel)
Lineage: Eukaryota; Metazoa; Chordata; Mammalia; Rodentia; Sciuridae
Source: RefSeq, a predicted model, not a curated record